Molecule: transfer RNA, 67 nt
Filed under: Marmota monax (woodchuck)
Lineage: Eukaryota; Metazoa; Chordata; Mammalia; Rodentia; Sciuridae
Description: tRNA.Ala
Source: RNAcentral
GGUUGUGGCUCAGGGGUAGAGAGCUCACCUUGCAUGUACCAGGCCCUGGGUUCGAUCCUCAGCACCA